UUUGUUGUCGUCUGCUUCUGCAUUUUCUAGUCGCGCCGACCUUUUUUCAUCGGUUUUACUAGGUUUUACUAAAUUUAUUAUUCAAUUAACGCUUUCUUAAACGACGAGACAAUUAAUUUAUUUUCAAGUUAGAAGCCGAAUCAUAGCACAUUUUUGUAUAGGCUAAGGAAGCUUUGCUUCAUCAUAGCAACAAUCUCAGAAUCAUCAAUUAGCAUCCCUCUUGAAGUCUUGAUUAAGGAAAUGCACACAUCCCCUGACUGUGGAAGAAGACGAGAUCCAGAUCACCCCAUGGCUUUCAGGUGAAACGAGCACCUGUCUUGAUGCCAACUUGAAAAUGGUUUUUAUCGACUGGUAAUUCAGCAGACAAAUCUGGAUGUAGAAUUAGAUACCAAUUUGGACUGGACAAUCUGGACUACUUUGGACAUGCUGGACUGCCCAAAGCAUUCCACCAAUAUCUGCUGACAAAUGAAACUUCUAGCUUGGCCUAGAAGAUUCUUUGGAAAUCGACAUUUCGUAAUUAGGCCAGAAAUGGCCUAUUGUGCUUCCCUUUCCCGCUCCUGAAUUUCCUGCUAGAUGUCGUUUUGGAUGAAACGCUCCUGUAAUCCUGAUUUGUGCCAGCGCCCAGCAGUAAAUUGCCCGAGACUACAUUCAGCUGUCGACUAUUGAGUUACGCCGUGAAAGCCGCGCCAUUCAUUGUUAUCACAAAUUUCACCCAGCCUCUUUGCCGGGCAGGCUCUCGUCGUGUUCGUAUCUCUUGUAACAGUGUAGCAGCUUUGACCGAGUCUUUGUACGCUCACCUGCCCACAGAAAAUGUUCAAUAUUCGUGAUCACGUGAUCGACCAGCUCACCUCCCAUUAGCAUCUAAAUAUUUGAUGUGGCUGCCGUUUUUGGAUCGACAGGCGGUACUAUUGCAGAAGAUUUGGCACCUAACGAAAUCCCCGAAUUUGUUUUGAAAGAUGACGUGGAAUGGACUAAUUAUCUUUUAGUGCUUGAACGAAUAUCCGUUAUUUGACAGCCAUCGAUAAUCCUGGCCGUAGGAAAAGAACUCGUCCGUGCCGAUUUGGAGAAAAACCGCAGUUUAGCUGAGACUUGGUCUAUUCUCGUUUCUGCUAUUGACAAUCUUCAAUCCAAUACUUGGCCCGUUAUCACUAGCAAAGUGUACAACUGUACAUGUCAUUACAUUUCGGACGUGUCGAAGAAGCUGAUGCAUGCGGAAAUCCUGACCGGGCUACACGCGUCCAACGUCACGUGUUUUUGCUCAAAGCCAUCAUCGCACGUAUCAAAGAUCCGUUGUUCGGAUCUAAAAUGUCGAUAAUGAAAACAUUUGGACAACACCACCAAAAAGUGGACCAACAAAUUUUUGUUUAAAAGUCAGGUUUCACUGACUAUUUUCUGGUGAUGUUUUUAAAUAAUAGGAACAGGUAGUCGCCGGUCGCCCGUCACCCUGUUGGCUUGAGAGUUUGCCCACCAGCCGCUGAGGCAACUCCUGGCAAAUUUAAGCCAUUUAGUUCACUAGAGUACUACUGCUAGUCUACUACUACUACUAGACAAUUUGUCAGGUAUGGUUUUUCCUUGAUUGUUACAGUCAUCAUCAAAAGUUGAAUAUUUAUUGAACCUGCUGUGCACUAAGAUGUGGCUAACUUAACAACUACUUAAACCUAAAUGUGGUUUUUUAAAUUCAGUUUCCGUUGGUUGGAAGAUUAUAUUUUAGUCUUGCUAACAGUAGAAUAAUCAAUUAAGAAAAUUUCUAUCUUUUUGACGACAUCAGUUUUUGACAUUUGUAGAAGAUAGAAAUCGUAGAAAAGGAUUGAAGCUUCACUGAUGUUUGAGAUAAAAAAAAUAUAAUAAUAGGGAAGGAAUGUGAGCUGUGGUCGUUCGGCUUAUUGUUAGCUCCACCUAUCUGCGUUAACUUGAUUUCUUUUAACCAAGCGGCUAUUUGAAAAGACGGAACUCCUCCAAUAUAUGAUAAAUUCAGAGUUAAUCCGGUAUCCAGUCCUUUCACCUACAUUGCUAAGAUUUUUAGUUGGGAACAGAAUCAACCAGAGUAUGCAGUCACGAGGAUUGCAUAGAACCUUAUUCACUAGACCGACCUACUGCAGACAUCCCUAUCCAAGAAGUUUGUUGUCUGUAUGCGUUGUGGUGCGUGCCCAGGUAUGGGAGCAACAAUGCUCACAAGGAGAGUCGAACUCGGGUACCAAAAUACCCCGAUCACUAAGCGACGCCUUGUUCGACUCACCCACCUGCCCACCAUAUUUAAUAAGUUCUGAAAGGCAUUUUAUACUGAUCCUAAUCCCUCGUAAACAACGAUGGCCUUGCAUCGUAUACUUAACGGAUUUGUUAAUAAUAAAUCAAAAUCGUACAGUAAUAUUUUAUCUCCUUCCCUAUAGUAAAUUAUACCCUAUUUACUGCUAACAGCUCAAGUAACCGAGUUUAAUUUUUGAAAUUCCUUAAAUUAAAACUUUUUUCAUAUAUAUAC
This 2476-nucleotide long non-coding RNA is filed under the name Daphnia pulex (common water flea). RNAcentral describes it as "uncharacterized LOC124193316". Lineage: Eukaryota; Metazoa; Arthropoda; Branchiopoda; Diplostraca; Daphniidae. The record is from RNAcentral.